This is a non-coding RNA of Cordylochernes scorpioides, 68 nucleotides long. NCBI's taxonomy places the organism in Eukaryota, Metazoa, Arthropoda, Arachnida, Pseudoscorpiones, Chernetidae. The record is from the annotation of a GenBank genome assembly.
UAGGUCGGGUUUCCCGACAUAUGAACAUAAAGUUGGCCAUGUUCGUUGUCGUUGAAACCUGAACUAUG